RNAcentral lists this long non-coding RNA (310 nucleotides) under Elaeis guineensis (African oil palm). RNAcentral's name for it is "long non-coding RNA (EGUI_LNC042413)". The record is from RNAcentral. Lineage: Eukaryota; Viridiplantae; Streptophyta; Magnoliopsida; Arecales; Arecaceae.
GACCCCUGCGACGGGAUUUUUCUACAACGGCUAGUUUUUAACCCAUUUUAAGUACUUUUAAUGCUUAUUUAAUGUGCUCUAACGGCUCUUUUUCUGCCUAGAAUAUUUUUCUCUAUUUCUUAAAGCUAUAAAAGGAUUCAAAAGGUGGGAAACAAAGAAGAGAUUAAGAAAAGAAAGAAAGAGAUUGAAAAGAAAAAGAAGAGCAUUCAAGAGAGCAUUCAAGAGCAUUCAAAAGAGAAAGGAUUUCUCAAGCCAACUUUUCAGCCCUAAUCAAGAGCUCAUUUAAAGCCUCCAAGAAGCCAUCAAUCCA